CGCGGCCUAUCAGCUUGUUGGUGAGGUAAUGGCUCACCAAGGCUUCGACGGGUAGCCGGCCUGAGAGGGCGACCGGCCACACUGGGACUGAGAUACGGCCCAGACUCCUACGGGAGGCAGCAGUGGGGAAUAUUGCACAAUGGGCGCGAGCCUGAUGCAGCAACGCCGCGUGCGGGAUGACGGCCUUCGGGUUGUAAACCGCUUUCAGUAGGGACGAAGCUAACGUGACGGUACCUACAGAAGAAGGACCGGCUAACUACGUGCCAGCAGCCGCGGUGAUACGUAGGGUCCGAGCGUUGUCCGGAAUUAUUGGGCGUAAAGGGCUUGUAGGCGGUCCGUCGCGUCAGGAGUGAAAACUCGGGGCUUAACCCCGAGCCUGCUUUUGAUACGGGCGGACUAGAGGGAUGCAGGGGAGAACGGAAUUCCUGGUGGAGCGGUGGGAUGCGCAGAUAUCAGGAGGAACACCGGUGGCGAAGGCGGUUCUCUGGGCAUCACCUGACGCUGAGAAGCGAAAGCGUGGGGAGCAAACAGGCUUAGAUACCCUGGUAGUCCACGCCGUAAACGGUGGGCACUAGGUGUGGGGGACAUUCCACGUUCUCCGUGCCGAAGCUAACGCAUUAAGUGCCCCGCCUGGGGAGUACGG
RNAcentral lists this ribosomal RNA (643 nucleotides) under uncultured bacterium. RNAcentral describes it as "bacterial SSU rRNA". It matches the Rfam family "Bacterial small subunit ribosomal RNA", at positions 232 to 885 of the family's 1533-position model. The record is from RNAcentral.